This 531-nucleotide ribosomal RNA is filed under the name uncultured beta proteobacterium. RNAcentral's name for it is "bacterial SSU rRNA". It matches the Rfam family "Bacterial small subunit ribosomal RNA", at positions 56 to 592 of the family's 1533-position model. The record is from RNAcentral. Lineage: Bacteria; Pseudomonadati; Pseudomonadota; Betaproteobacteria.
UGCAGUCGACGGCAGCACGGGGGCAACCCUGGUGGCGAGUGGCGAACGGGUGAGUAAUGCAUCGGAACGUAUCCUUAAGUGGGGGAUAACGCAUCGAAAGAUGCGCUAAUACCGCAUAAUCUCUGAGGAGAAAAGCAGGGGAUCGCAAGACCUUGCGCUUUUGGAGCGGCCGAUGUCUGAUUAGCUAGUUGGUGAGGUAAAGGCUUACCAAGGCUUCGAUCAGUAGCUGGUCUGAGAGGACGACCAGCCACACUGGGACUGAGACACGGCCCAGACUCCUACGGGAGGCAGCAGUGGGGAAUUUUGGACAAUGGGGGCAACCCUGAUCCAGCCAUGCCGCGUGAGUGAAGAAGGCCUUCGGGUUGUAAAGCUCUUUCAGCCGGAACGAAACGGUCACGGUUAAUAACUGUGAUCACUGACGGACCGAGAAGAAUAACCACCGGCUAACUACGUGCCACAGCCGCGGUAAUACUAUGGUGCGAGCGUUAAUCAAUUACUGGGGUAGCGUGCCAGGCGGUUUGUUCAGAUGUG